GCCAAACUCUUCAGAAGCUACAAAAAGAGGAAUCUGUGCCCUCCUGGUCAGUAGAUUUUUCUAAUGUAGAAAACAUGUAGAAGAGUGCAUGGAGAGUAAAUCAUCCAAGGACAGUCCUUCAAGAUGCUGCUGGAGUGCCAGCUUGACUUUCUUCCCAGCAGAUGACGUAUGACAGGGACAAGGAUCCAUUUUGGAGAAGAAGGGUGGUAAGAUUUGGUAGUUCAGGAUAUGUAGGACUUCACUGGUAUAACAAGCAGUGAAGCUCAUGGGAAAUGCAUCAGUUCUCAUUCCGAGUCUGGCUAACAAAGAUACGAACACUUAAUUAAGAUUUCUUUCAUCUCAUGAAAAUAGCUCUGAAGAUCUGAGCCUGACAUGAGAGCUGCCAGCAAGACUAGCAAAAGCAAAGUUUCCAGCUGUGGAAGAUCUUCAUUCAAGAACUUGCCCUCACAAACCACAUUUCUUUAAAUUGUGAGUGGGAUCUAGUGCUUCUAAGUGGAUGACCUAACUCAAGCAAGAAACUCUUCUGACCCACUCUAGUCCUCUGAAUUCCUCUCUUGCACAUGGAGAGACCUACAGGAGGGAGAGCCUCUUUGCUCUGCAGGAACGAUGGAAUCAGUUCAGUUCUGAAUGCUGCAGAAACAGUUGGCUCAGGCUUCCCAAUAUGCCAUCUGUGAGAAAACAGACAUUUUAGGUGACUGAUUCAAAAAAAUGCACAUUCUUUUUAUAUUUAUUUACAUACUUACAUUUAUAUUGAUUAAAAUCGGUCUGGUUUAGUUA
Long non-coding RNA from Tympanuchus pallidicinctus (lesser prairie-chicken), 777 nucleotides. RefSeq lists it as uncharacterized. The transcript has 4 exons. The record is from RefSeq and is a predicted model, not a curated record. NCBI's taxonomy places the organism in Eukaryota, Metazoa, Chordata, Aves, Galliformes, Phasianidae.